RNAcentral lists this non-coding RNA (151 nucleotides) under Eptatretus burgeri (inshore hagfish). Lineage: Eukaryota; Metazoa; Chordata; Myxini; Myxiniformes; Myxinidae. The record is from RNAcentral.
GUGCUGUGAGAAAGGAGAGAAGGUUAGCACUCCCCUUGACAUUGAGGAGGAAGACCAAAAGGCCUCGUCAUGAAAAGGACAAAGAGACCACGAAGCCUGGUUGUAGGCUUACUCAUCACUGCACUUGCUCGUGGCUGUUUUACUUCAUCUU